Molecule: microRNA precursor, 89 nt
Filed under: Sorghum bicolor (sorghum)
Lineage: Eukaryota; Viridiplantae; Streptophyta; Magnoliopsida; Poales; Poaceae
Description: MIR5565 microRNA precursor family
Rfam family: MIR5565 microRNA precursor family
Source: Rfam by way of RNAcentral
GUAGUUGGAUUUGCAUCAAUCAACAUGUGUUGGAGUGAAACUUGAACUAAAUUCUACCCCAACACAUGUGGAUUGAGGUAAAUCCGACA